This is a non-coding RNA of Aegilops tauschii subsp. strangulata, 4768 nucleotides long. The record is from RefSeq and is a predicted model, not a curated record. NCBI's taxonomy places the organism in Eukaryota, Viridiplantae, Streptophyta, Magnoliopsida, Poales, Poaceae.
AAUUUCAUUUUUUCUAUUUUCUUCCAACCCGUCCGUUUGCCACUUAGCAAUGGGUCUUCCAGGUCAGGACAAAAUCGCCUUAUCACCGUCUCGCAGGGACACGCCACACGCGUCCGUGAACCCAUGCCCCUUCACCUUAUCUCUUACUCCAGCCCGCUACUUCCCUCACUUCAUUUCCUGUUCUCCUGGAUCCCCUUUCUCGUCUAGCUCGCUGGGGAAGCCAGUCGCCGUUGCAACACCAGCCUCAGGAAUCGGCGGGAUACGCUAGCCCUCAGUCCAGAUCAACGUCCAUGCCUCCGGCUUCGACACGCAGGCCCGCUGGACGCCGCCGUGAACCACCUUGUUUUUCCGCAGCCUCUUGGACCGAGGCCACCUUCGUCGGUUCCGCCGGCCGCCACUGCGACGCCGCGGUCAUCCUUCUCACCGAACAGCUCUAGAGACUAUGACGGGCUCCGUGUUGUCCGCAUCUCCUCUGGACAAUGGAUUCAAAGCCGCAGGUCCAUCCUACUUCUUCCCUGACGUUGACCGCCAUUGUCACUGUCCGGAGCUCGUUGCUCUGCUCCGUCCGACCUUGCCACUUACAGCAUGGGUUUCUUCAUCGUUUCAAUAGAGUCAGGCAAUGAGGGGAAUUACGAGUUCGAUCCGCAGCUUCAUCAGGACAUUGACCAGGAAGGCAAGCAUCAUGAAUUCCCUAGCUUAUGUUUUACUUAUGUUGAAGGAUUAUACUAUCUUGUUGCUCGUGUUGGUUACCAUGUCGUACCUUUCUUUGCAAUAUCCAUGUUUAGGACACGCAACAGGAACCGGUAGUUUAACCAGAGAAGGAACUUCAUUCUCUCACACUUGAUAUGAUAGCAUUUAUCAGAUCAGGUUAUAGAAGCAAAUAUUAAGUACCAUCAGACUAAUGUCUGAUUCUCUCUGAAUUACACUGCCUAUCCACUAUUAUUGUUGUCCAUGUGGAGUAGGGCUUGUAAAUAAACAUAUAUACUGUUGUAGUCAAGUUAACUUGAAUUAGCUAGGAUGAAUCGGACACUUUUGCAAUUUCCAUAAAUAGAUCAACAGGUUAGUCAUCCGCAUGAGACGACCGAUCUAUUCUUGUUAACAAUGAAACAAAUAUCGAUUUCAAUCACGAAGAAUAACUACACUUCUGUGUUUGUCUCAGAAGUAAAACUUUUCUAUUUUGACCAUGUCUCUAGGAAAAACAUUGACCGAAAACUAAAAUAAUACUGUGCUAUUGGUCAAGGUAUGCCUGGAAGUGGGCGAGCCAGCUUGAUCUGGUGAUGAUUCACCUGAAGAAUUGACCUGCCGGCACGAUGUGUAGAGGGGAGGGAGCUGAUCUUGCGGGUGAGGAAGCAGAUCUUGCAAUCGAACUCAUCUUUCCGACGCAGAUGAACACUGACGAUGGAAUGGAAAAGAGAGGGUGGGUGAGAGAAUGCUGGUGCACAGAGCGGAGAAGAAAGGGAUGGAUAAGGUCACGUCUUUAGCAAUUGAGCAAGUGGAACAACCUCGCCUCGUCCAAUAUCCCGUGCCGGCCCAGUAUAUACCAGAGCUUAUGAUUUUUCCUCUUCUGUAAGCCCAGAACACAAUAUAAAUAUGAAUUGGAACAACCAAAUUGUAUUAACAGAAGAAAUCAUGACGCUUACAAAGGUAUAUAAAAUGCACUAAUAAACAGGAUAGUAAAGUUUAGUCGGAUUUUUUAGAACAUAAAUUUUCAUUGUUAUUAAGUGUUAGUGACGGCUUCUGAAUGAAAGAACAAUAUUAGCAUGUUUGGAUUAAAAGUGGAACAUGUAAUCACAUUACAUGGGAAAACUGUGAUAUAGAACCUCACAACGAUAAUCUUGCUCAUAUGUUUCAAUCAGUACAAAAUAUGUACCUGAAAUAGAUUAACUUUGAUCAUUUCCUUUCUCUCCAAUGUUGUGCUCCUCUUAGCUAAAGUAAGUGCAUGCAACUAUGUAUAACCUCUUAAGUUACAAAAGAAUCUGCAUUUGAAUAAUCCAGUGGUUAUAUUCAACUUAAACUGGGACUUGUAUGCAUGAUAUUUUGUAAGAAUAUCUAUGAGAUAGAACUGAACAAUUAUAUUAGCAACUGGGUGACAUAGUCGAUUGUAUCCCUGGAAAAUAUAUUAUGAUCUCUGAACUACAGUAGCGUGCAAACAAUUGACAACCAACGAAGGAAGCGGACGCUGACAGAAAUGACAAACCCAAGUCAGCGAAGGAUGACAGUCGGACAUAUAUCUCAUCCCUGCUGUAGCUCAUCUAUGUUUAUUCAGAAGUGACGACAUAUUUAUAUAUAUGUUGUGCGCCCAACUCUGUCUCAAGCAUUGCCCACUGCUGAACCUACACAUGAAAAGCUAACAAAUGUUCUUAUUCUUGUUCUGCCUCAUGCAACAGACCCGAUCAACCUACAGCUCAGUAUGUAAUUUACGAAAAGAAAAUAUAGGGAAUGAUGGGGGAAGAACAACCUGGUGAACAACUUGAAUUGAAACUUUAAUUCAUUAUAGGACUGCAGUUUCAUAACACGUCAGUACCUUAUUGGGCAUUACAGUGUUCCUGUGCAAAACAUAGUAAUAAAGAAAAUUAUGAGCGAGAUGUGUGCCACGUUGCUAAUCACAGACAUUGAAUGGAGUUGGAACCAAACCUUUUAGUCUGCUAGUAGAUACAGUGGGUCAACAGUUCUGAUUCUUUUUCUUCAUCUCCCUUUGAAGCAUUAGCAGAAGACUCAGAAAUAGAACCAUAUUUUCUCAGUGCUUUGAACCCCGGUUUCAGAAUGAUUCUCAAAAUAUAAAUGUCUGUAGACCAAGAACAAAACAAACAACAAACAUUUCAGUAUUGACGGAGGCUUCUCUACGUAAAUCAGGACAAUCCAAAUCAAAUGUAUAGGGAAAUAAUAGAAAGAACAAACUCUGUGGCUACUGUUUUAAUGCACAAUAAGCCAUAUCUUCUAUAAAAGUGUCCCGAUACAGUUGGUAAUGAACGAUUGGUAACCUUCCUAUUUUUAGGAGAUAUCAACAAUCAGGUUCUACAGAAGACUUGUGUACACCUAAUUACAGGAGGUACCUAGUGAGCUACAAAAUUCAGAUAAGUUAAUGAAAAAUCUUCUAGUCCAGAAUACAAUUAACUGAUAAAACCUAUACAUAACAGCCAAUUUAUUACUUUCUUUUAUGACCAAAGAAGCAUAUGGGAAUACUAAACUCAUAAUUUAAUUAAUGAAUAAUCUUCUAAUCCUGAUUAACUUAAUUGAAGCUUCCAAGGCUAUCGAUAAAUUGCCAAGAGAUCAACACAGCCACCCAAAAAUAAUCUGCAAACAAACUAAAUAGGCAAAAACCGGAUAGUGAAUUUUAAAUACAUUUGAUGGGAAGAACCUCAUGGAUACCUUUUAUCAUUGCAACAUGUAGUAUUCACAUCAAAUGUCAAAUGAAAUCUAUGAUAGACGCAUCUGGACCAUAUUGAUUAUCAAAGGGGUAAGCACACACACACACACACACACACACACACCAAUGAUCUACAAAUGCAUUAUCAACAACCUGGAAGUGGCCAUCAUUGAUAACAUUCUAAUCUUGAAAAAUGAACUGAUAAGCUUAUAAACAUACAAAUAGUCUGACAAGUCAUUCCGUUGUAACAAUCUAUAGACAUCAGGAGAACAUCAAGCAAGGCCACCCAAAGAGGCAAAACAUCAAGCAUUUUAAUGCUAUCUAUGCUGCAAGAACUGAAUCAAAUUAAACAUUGAUAUAUUGCUAGAUUACAGGAGAGGGACAUAGAGGCUUAAACCUGUACGGUGUCAAUGACAAUGGAGAGGAAUGGAAUAGCAUCUAACCAUGUGAGUGGGAAUUUUAGAGAGGUACGAUAAAAUGCUAGAAACAUGGAUUGUCCACAUCAGUAAUUCUUCCAAAGAAAACACUAAGAUCAAGGAUUGUUUAGCCUUAAUUUAGGCUAAUCUUUUAUGAAUUAUGAUCACUUAUGAGGUCGAGAUGCUAACACUUAUAAGCCAGAUAAGUCAGCUUAUCGUAUAGUUAUUAGACAUAAUCACAAAAAAUGGGAACAAAAAGAUUGUCAUUUAAACAGAACCAUCAUAGAAGUAGCAAAGGAAGACUCACAAAAGACUUAAGAGGGAGCAUGGAUGUUACUUAAAUGCAUUCAAGAUCUAACAUCUGAGCAGGACCAUAAAACUGAACUUUAUAUAUACUCUGCUCUGCACACAGGAUAACUAUAUAUCUCAUUGAAGGCUAUACUGGCAGAUGGCACACAAAUAAGCAAUAAUCAAAUAAAAAUCCAACGGUCAUCACUGAUCAAAGUGUGCUAUAGAUAGAUGUUUGAUUAAUUUGUAAUCAAUCAAGAAGCUUCUUGCUAAUAGGACUAUGCACUUCUUUCUGACACUCAAUUACACAUGUGAUGUGUUCAUGUAAGUUUGGACACGGUGAAGCAUUUAUACAUAAUUUAAGCGAUUCACAAUGAAGCCCUGGAAUAAAAACUUAAAGAAUAAUGAGGUAUAGCAUGAGAUGAUUACAAAGGUACAUUAUGUUCGAGUUGGCAAGAGAAAAACAUUAUAAACAUAACCUGCUCUAGAAAUAAAAUAUGGAGGAAGCUCUCCAAGUGCGGUCCCAAUGCCCCAAGGAACAACUUGAAGAUGAACUUCAUGGAGUAUUUUGCUAAAUGGUUCGGAUUGUUUCCUGGUACACUGGAGAUCCAAACUCUGGACAGUCUUUCUCCAACCAUGAAGGCCUACUUUUAAAAAGAAUAAUGUCAUAAGGAGCACUCUUUAAAUCAACCCGGCC